Molecule: unclassified non-coding RNA, 451 nt
Filed under: Hevea brasiliensis (rubber tree)
Lineage: Eukaryota; Viridiplantae; Streptophyta; Magnoliopsida; Malpighiales; Euphorbiaceae
Source: RNAcentral
AUUGAGCGAGUAUUUACUAUAAUGGAGCAACUUCAAAAGGACCGGAAGCAGACAACGAGACCUACUGAAACCCAAGUUCUGCUGAGCAUACUUGGGGAUAAAAGUAAACUAUCUUUAGCUGCAGAGCUUGUCAGUGAGCUAUGGAGUGCCAUGGUGAAAGCAGAAUACGUUGAGUACCAGGUUUAGUAAGCACAUUGAUCGUGCCAAAGAGUCAAGAAUUCCGUGGAUGAUACUUGUAGGUGAUAAGGAUCUAGAGAAAGGGAUUGUAAAAGUAAAGAAUCUUGAGACCACAGUCGAAGAAGAAGUUCCUAGAAGUACAUUUGUUGAAGAAAUUAAGAGACGGUUGAACCUUUGAAAAUCUCAUCUGGUAGACACAAAACCUGAGCCAUUGUUACCGAAGCAUUUAUAAUUUUGUGGAUGUGGUGGGCAAAGGUAUUGACACCAAAAGCCC